This is a non-coding RNA of Oryza glaberrima (African rice), 189 nucleotides long. The record is from Rfam. Lineage: Eukaryota; Viridiplantae; Streptophyta; Magnoliopsida; Poales; Poaceae.
AAUAAGCACAAUCAUGAGUUUUCGUAUUUAAUUUUGAUCGUUUGUCUUAUUUAAAAUUUUUUAUAAUUAAUAUUUUUAUUGCUAUUAGAUUAUAAACAUGAAUUGACUUAUGUUUUUUAAGUUUUCAAAAAAAAAUCAAAUAAGACGGACGAUUAAAGUUGGACACGGAAACUCAUAGUUGCAUUUAUU